This is a long non-coding RNA of Tupaia belangeri chinensis (Chinese tree shrew), 289 nucleotides long. RefSeq lists it as uncharacterized. The record is from RefSeq and is a predicted model, not a curated record. The transcript has 3 exons. NCBI's taxonomy places the organism in Eukaryota, Metazoa, Chordata, Mammalia, Scandentia, Tupaiidae.
CGGGAGAGGCGGCGUUCUUCUUAGGCGGCUGCAGGUCGUGGCGGCGCUGGAGGCCAUGAGUGUGGCGAAGGUGACAGUUGGGCCCAGCGGGUCCUACGGGCAACACCUCUUGUUUCAGUGGGAUGGAUGCUGCCCAAAGUGGCCCACAGGCAACUCUCCCUGGAGCCCCAAAUGGCACAAGGGCUUCUUACUGAGAGGCCCUCCUGGAACAUUAAGAGCAUCCUGCAAGGUUUCUUUCUGGCUCUCUGAUGUUGUCAAGAAGCAAAUAUCACCAGCCUUGAGGGAUUCA